AUGUGGUGGUUUUUUGCAAUUCACUCCCCGGAACUCGACGAGCUACCGCUUGCGCGGGAGGAUUGUUUCCGCGACGAGGACGCGUCGACGGCUCUGAAGAUGGACUGGGCGUCGUGCUACGUGCCGCACAGCGACCACGACGCGCACUUCGGGGUUGCCGACCCUGGCGUCAUCGGCGUGGCGGACGGCGUCAGCGCGUACAGCGCGAAAGGCGUGGACGCGGGCGCCUUCUCUCGGAGCCUCAUGGCGAGCGCCUACAAAGACGCGCUGGAGACGGUGCCCAGGCCCAUCUGCCCCUACACGUUGCUGCAACGGGCCUACAAGGGCGCGGCCUCGUCGGGCGUGCCUGGGGCGUCCACGGCGGUCCUUCUCUCGCUCGUCGGGGACACCCUCAGGUGGGCCAACGUGGGUGACAGCGGCUUCGCCGUGCUCCGCGGCGGCGCGAUCGUGCACCGCUCGCGGCCGCAGCUGGCCCGCUUCAACUGCCCGCUCCAGCUCGCCGCCAAGGGCGCCGACAGCGUCACCGAGGCGGAGGUGGGCGAGACCGCGGUGAGGGACGGCGACAUCGUGGUGGUGGCCGCGGACGGGCUGUUCGACAACAUGUUCGACGCGGAACUCGAGCCCGUCGUGCGGAUGGGCACGGCGCUGGGCUUCUCACCCAAGAACAUGGCGGACAUCAUUGCCGGCAUCGCCUACGAGAUGUCGUGGAGCAAGGUCAAGGACUCGCCGUUCAGCGUCGGCUACCGGAAGCACACGGGGAGUCAACGGUGCGGCGGGAAGCAAGAUGACAUAACCGUCGUCGUCGCCUUCAUCGUCUCCACUCAGCUGGAGGGCGUGGGCGUGGGCGUCGACAAGGUUGAAGAUGAUGCAGCUUCAAAUUCUAUCUGGAUGGAUCAAGUCAAGAUGAAGAAAAGGGCAUACGAACUUAAGAACGUAUCUGGGCCAUCUCUCGGUGCAAAAAGCGAUUCCGUCGACAGUGGAAAUCGGCGUACAUUGCAGCGUUCCAAUUCCGGGCCGAUUUCUCGUGCCAGAGGUCGUUGGUAUUGA
RNAcentral lists this ribosomal RNA (1047 nucleotides) under Triticum aestivum (bread wheat). Its description in RNAcentral is "partial small subunit ribosomal RNA". Lineage: Eukaryota; Viridiplantae; Streptophyta; Magnoliopsida; Poales; Poaceae. The record is from RNAcentral.